UAACUUUCACUCUCGGCUU
RNAcentral lists this non-coding RNA (19 nucleotides) under Arabidopsis thaliana (thale cress). The record is from RNAcentral. Lineage: Eukaryota; Viridiplantae; Streptophyta; Magnoliopsida; Brassicales; Brassicaceae.